Molecule: ribosomal RNA, 460 nt
Filed under: uncultured bacterium
Lineage: Bacteria
Description: partial 16S ribosomal RNA
Rfam family: Bacterial small subunit ribosomal RNA
Source: RNAcentral
CCUACGGGAGGCAGCAGUGAGGAAUAUUGGUCAAUGGACGAGAGUCUGAACCAGCCAAGUAGCGUGAAGGAUGACUGCCCUAUGGGUUGUAAACCUCUUUUAUAUGGGAAUAAAAUGUUCCACGUGUGGGCUUUUGUAUGUACCAUAUGAAUAAGGAUCGGCUAACUCCGUGCCAGCAGCCGCGGUAAUACGGAGGAUCCGAGCGUUAUCCGGAUUUAUUGGGUUUAAAGGGUGCGUAGGUGGAUUGUUAAGUCAGUUGUGAAAGUCUGCGGCUCAACCGUAAAAUUGCAGUUGAAACUGGCAGUCUUGAGUACAGUAGAGGUGGGCGGAAUGCGUGGUGUAGCGGUGAAAUGCUUAGAUAUCACGAAGAACUCCGAUUGCGAAGGCAGCUCACUGGACUGCAACUGACACUGAGGCUCGAAAGUGUGGGUAUCAAACAGGAUUAGAUACCCUUGUAGUC